GAUGAACGCUAGCGGCAGGCUUAACACAUGCAAGUCGAGGGGUAAAUAUAGCAAUAUAUGAGACCGGCAAACGGGUGCGGAACACGUACUGAACCUACCUUUAUCUGGGGCAUAGCCCGGAGAAAUCCGGAUUAACUCCCCAUAGUAUCAUUGGAUGGCAUCAUUUGGUGAUUAAAAAAUUUAUUGGAUAAAGAUGGCAGUGCGUCCCAUUAGCUAGUUGGUAGGGUAACGGCCUACCAAGGCGACGAUGGGUAGCUGGUGUGAGAGCACGACCAGCCACACGGGCACUGAGACACGGGCCCGACUCCUACGGGAGGCAGCAGUGAGGAAUAUUGGUCAAUGGACGCAAGUCUGAACCAGCCAUGCCGCGUGAAGGAUGAAGGCCUUCUGGGUUGUAAACUUCUUUUAUGUGGAAGAAACCUACUGAUUUCUAUUAGAGUUGACGGUACCAUAGGAAUAAGCACCGGCUAACUCCGUGCCAGCAGCCACGGUAAU
RNAcentral lists this ribosomal RNA (495 nucleotides) under uncultured bacterium. Its description in RNAcentral is "bacterial SSU rRNA". It matches the Rfam family "Bacterial small subunit ribosomal RNA", at positions 28 to 524 of the family's 1533-position model. The record is from RNAcentral.